RNAcentral lists this ribosomal RNA (214 nucleotides) under uncultured bacterium. RNAcentral describes it as "partial 16S ribosomal RNA". It matches the Rfam family "Bacterial small subunit ribosomal RNA", at positions 30 to 244 of the family's 1533-position model. The record is from RNAcentral.
AUUGAACGCUGGCGGCAUGCCUUACACAUGCAAGUCGGACGGCAGCACGGGGGCAACCCUGGUGGCGAGUGGCGAACGGGUGAGUAAUACAUCGGAACGUGCCCCGUAGCGGGGGACAACCAGUCGAAAGACUGGCUAAUACCGCAUACGCUCCACGGAGGAAAGCAGGGGAUCGCAAGACCUUGCACUAUGGGAGCGGCCGAUGCCCGAUUAG